RNAcentral lists this microRNA (23 nucleotides) under Homo sapiens (human). RNAcentral describes it as "hsa-miR-6511a-5p". The record is from miRBase by way of RNAcentral. Lineage: Eukaryota; Metazoa; Chordata; Mammalia; Primates; Hominidae.
CAGGCAGAAGUGGGGCUGACAGG